RNAcentral lists this transfer RNA (66 nucleotides) under Conchocele cf. bisecta HPD1644. Its description in RNAcentral is "tRNA-Asn". It matches the Rfam family "tRNA". From Rfam's summary of the family: Transfer RNA (tRNA) molecules are approximately 80 nucleotides in length. Their secondary structure includes four short double-helical elements and three loops (D, anti-codon, and T loops). Lineage: Eukaryota; Metazoa; Mollusca; Bivalvia; Lucinida; Thyasiridae. The record is from RNAcentral.
CAAGUUUAAGCUUUUUAGAGCGUUUGACUGUUAAUCAGAAGGAACGAUAAAUUAUCGUAAAUUUGA